AUUGAACGCUGGCGGCAGGCCUAACACAUGCAAGUCGAGCGGAUGAAGGGAGCUUGCUCCUGGAUUCAGCGGCGGACGGGUGAGUAAUGCCUAGGAAUCUGCCUGGUAGUGGGGGAUAACGUCCGGAAACGGGCGCUAAUACCGCAUACGUCCUGAGGGAGAAAGUGGGGGAUCUUCGGACCUCACGCUAUCAGAUGAGCCUAGGUCGGAUUAGCUAGUUGGUGGGGUAAAGGCCUACCAAGGCGACGAUCCGUAACUGGUCUGAGAGGAUGAUCAGUCACACUGGAACUGAGACACGUUCCAGACUCCUACGGGAGGCAGCAGUGGGGAAUAUUGGACGAUGGGCGAAAGCCUGAUCCAGCCAUGCCGCGUGUGUGAAGAAGGUCUUCGGAUUGUAAAGCACUUUAAGUUGGGAGGAAGGGCAGUAAGUUAAUACCUUGCUGUUUUGACGUUACCAACAGAAUAAGCACCGGCUAACUUCGUG
RNAcentral lists this ribosomal RNA (484 nucleotides) under uncultured bacterium. RNAcentral's name for it is "partial 16S ribosomal RNA". It matches the Rfam family "Bacterial small subunit ribosomal RNA", at positions 30 to 507 of the family's 1533-position model. The record is from RNAcentral.